CAGUAAGCGGAGGACGCUUCCGUAUGCCCGCCGGAGUACGAAACCAAAAUCUGGAUAUUUUAUGUCUCUCUGAGUAAACUUUUAAAUAAGUCAAAACUUUCAACAACGGAUCUCUUGGUUCUGGCAUCGAUGAAGAACGCAGCGAAAUGCGAUAAGUAAUGUGAAUUGCAGAAUUCAGUGAAUCAUCGAAUCUUUGAACGCACAUUGCGCUCGCCAGUAUUCUGGCGAGCAUGCCUGUUCGAGCGUCAUUUCAACCAUCAAGCUCUGCUUGCGUUGGGGAUCCGCGUCUGACGCGGUCCCUCAAAAACAGUGGCGGGCUCGCUAGUCACACCGAGCGUAGUAACUCUACAUCGCUAUGGUCGUGCGGCGGGUUCUUGCCGUAAAACCCCCAAUUUCUAAGGUUGACCUCGGAUCAGGUAGGAAUACCCGCUGAACUUAAGCAUAUCAAUAGGCCGGAGG
Molecule: ribosomal RNA, 459 nt
Filed under: Sordaria fimicola
Lineage: Eukaryota; Fungi; Ascomycota; Sordariomycetes; Sordariales; Sordariaceae
Description: eukaryotic LSU rRNA
Rfam family: 5.8S ribosomal RNA (bases 95-248)
Source: RNAcentral